AGGCAUGCAAGAAGCUCAACAGAAUUGAGCUCUCAGAUUGUGAAAUAUAUGCAUCUUGCGAGCCAUGUCCAAUGUGCUUUGGUGCCAUCCCUCUUUCAAGAAUUAAGAUGCUUUACGAGGAACUGGGUAUUAUCAGAAGGCUAAUUUGGAGAUAAAGAAAGCUGACGUAAGUGGUGCUGUUAUUGCAGAACAAGUAUUUGAGAAGACAAAAGUCCAAGUUUACCAUGUACUGAUUGUUGAUCGUAUAGAAAUUUAUGGAUGCAUGCGCCAAAAUUGGUCAUCUUCUUUAUCAUAAAAUGCCAAACAAGUGUGCAUCACAGUCCCCUUCUAUCAACAUUUGAGAAAAUCUUGGGUUUUCUCUUGGUACUCGUGCAAGUAGCAAGCAUUCACGUAAAAGGAUAUUCACCUAACUGGAGAACAUAGAAUAGCUUCAAUCAUGUUAUCAAUUGACACAGUGUAGAAACUGUGGGUUAAUAAUUUAGGACAACAUGCGGCUGUUCUCAGUAAAAUGUACACAUCCAACAAAAUGAGUAUAAAAAUACAAAUAUUGUUUUACCUUUAUUCCCCUCCAUUGUGGGGAUUCUUGUAGUGAUUUUUCUCCUCAAAACCCUCGUAUAGAAACCAUACUAACAAGUAUAGCCAACUAGGAAACAAGUUCAACAGGUGUACAGAUUCUUACAGUAGUCAUGGGAGCAAGAGAAGAAAAAGAACCAAGGAAGGAUGAGGAAGGGGUAAAACAACAAAGCAGAGAAGGGACGGACAAUGAAAGCUUUGUACCUUAUUACACCAUUCACAGCUGUGAAUAUAGAACCAUACUAACAAAUUCUAAUGGCAAAAUUUGUUUUAUACAAAUAAAUAAAGGGUGUUGCUGUCUCCAGAGAUCAUAUUCAAUCAUAGAACCCUUUGUUCUUUUCUUUGAAAUCCAGUUCUGCGUCAAAUCUUGUAGACUCAACUGAAGAAGCACAAAAUUAUGAAGACAUUUUCAUUUGAAUUUGCCGAUGGACAUGCACCAGAAACUCAACAUAAGAAAGACCACCAGUUGGAACUUUGUCUUCGAUCAAACACGAAAAAAAUGAGAGUCCUGAGUACGGAAGUAAUGGUCAAACUUUAUCAAUUCAAUCAACACAUUAUAUGCACACCCUUAGUGUUCAAAAUAGAAUGAUGUAUAUACUAUGAAAAACACUGUGAUGCAGCACAGAUGAAAUUUCUCAAGCCUCUUAGCUGAUGUAUUUUUUCUGGUUUGUACUGGACUCCAAUUAUUCAGGUUUAACAGUCAAGCCAGAUUAACAGAAACAAUGUAAAAGCUGUUACCACCUAUAAACCCUCCAUUCCUGGGGCACUUCUAAGCAAAGGGGAUAAAUGUAACUGCGAAUGUCCCCUGUUCCUACUUAUAAAAGGAAAACUAAAGCAACUCUAAAUAAACACUCGUUAGUUUGUCCUUCACAGUAAAAACACAUGCGACUCUCUGUGGAUGUGGGCACAUCACUGAAUCAUUUUUCUAAUUUGCAAGUGUGCAUGGGUAUUCCAACAUCAGCAGUUGGAAGAAAAGGAGAAGAAACUAACUUACAAUUCAAGACUAUUAAUGUAUAGUCACAGAAAAGGAUCAUCAAUGUUUAAAAUGCAAUGGUCCAAUUUCAAACAACAUUUAUAAAUAUAUAUAUAAAAAUACAUAAAGACAGCUAGUUGUAUCUGAAAUAAUAGCGUGGAAGGUCCAAUUUUCAGAGAAAGGCAAACCUCAGUAAAUGGAUGUGCAGUUACUUUUUGACAGGGCAAAUAACUAAUGUAAUAGAUAUUUGCCCUCCUUUAAGACGUAAUUAUGUGAAUGAGGGAAAGAACAAAAAGGAUUAUGUUAGUUAUGUGAAGGGGAAUGAUCUGGUCUGUUUUGGUUUAUUCUAACAUGAGACAAUUGUCUAGCAUAACAAUCAUUCCCUAAUGUAUACAAGGGAAGUUCCAAGAAACAGACCUGAUGGAUCUCCUUUCUUGCACAAUUUUAAGCGCAGGUAAGAACAUCUUCGUCGCCGUAUCUCAUUUAUCACAUCAUUUAACUUCUUUGAUAGUGGAUUCUCAUAUUGCUGCAGGACAAACUGAGGACGAAAAAAGAUUAAUUGCAAAAUUAAGGGGAAAAAACUUUUGAAUAAAACUGCUAAUAUGGCUCUGUAAAUAACAAAUUACACAAGAACAUAUCUAGUUGUCAAGAUACUUGGCAGCAUCACAUACUACACCCAUUUUGCAGCACAUAAUAAAGCAAAAUCCAUAAAGUAAUAUUGGACUAACCAAAGCCUCACAUAUGAGGAUCGGAUACAACAUUUUUCAAAAUAGACUUGACAAUAAGAACUUCAGAAAGGAAGAAUUUAAAUCACCUGAGUCGGGAUUUCAUCAACAGACAAAAUUCCAAACAGUUGAUGCAAGAUUUUUGAAUCAACUGAGCUGCCAACGUAUAUUAAACCUUCUUGACCAUUCUCAAGGAGAUAGAUUCCAUCAUCACUCACAUGUUCACUAGAAAGAGGGAGUGCAGGUGGAAUAGGAGAUUCAUUUCCUUCCUUUGUAUCAAGAUCAUGGAGAGCAAUCAUCCUUGGGUGUACUAAUGGAAUUGCUAAAGGGGUAGAAACUGAGGAAACAUAAGUAAUCCAAAAGGACCGAUCAUCUACUCUCCCAUCAAUUCGCAGUCCUGUGCUUUUAACCAAUGCAAGGGUGUAUAAAGGUAGAAGUUUAAGUGCUUCCGGAAGAAUAAGUUGUCCUGAUGAUGAUACAGUUGCACAAAAUUUACGAUAUGAAAGCAGAAUGUUUAUACAAAAGUUUGUAACUUGUUCUCGGACAUUCAAUGGCGGGGUAGAAGGAAUUUCAUUUGCCGCUACAAAGGAAAUGCAACAAAGAAAAUAGUCAGUCUUCAUCAAACAAAAACUAUAAUGAUAACAUUAACUCUAAAAGCUUCAAGAAGAGAAUAGCACAACCAUAAUGGAGAUAGCACAGAAGGCUAAUGUGUGACUGGAAAGCAUAUCAUAUUCACAUUUAUAAGCCUUUAUAUGCAAAUGACAAAUGAUUGGUGGAAUUCAGUGAGUGAAAAAUAUGCAAAAUAGAACCACUGGGCAGUAAAACGAAGACAAAAAGAAAAAAGAAAAUAAAUGAUACAUACCUUGCUUCAAAAAGCAUACAAAUUGAGUGUCCAAGUCAGCCAUGCGGAACAAAUUACUUAAAUUAUUUGUGCAUGGCAAUGAUAAAGUUGUAACACGAAUUCUUCUUUGGCCGUAUACCGUGGUGUAAAGAAGGGCACACUGAACAAGUGAGUAAACAGUAUAAACAGAAGCUUCCAAAAAUUAUCUUCUCUAAAAUACAUUAUAGGACAAAUUACAUCAUUAUCCCUACAAAUUUCACCAUUGUAACAACAGAACUUUGAUUUUCUAAUUGCAGCAAUUAAAAACUUAAACUUCCAUUUGCAUUGCAACGUUAGGUCAUUGUUGAUUGAUGCUUAAUUGAGAUUGAGUGGGACAAAAAGUAACGUAAAGAGCAUAAAAUUGCAACUGCUGCAAUUAGAGAAUCAGAAUUCAAGUUUUAAAACAGGAAUCAACAAGUAAAUGGGCCACAGAAGGAUUUAAAACUUCAUCAAAUACGAGAAAUCUGAUAAACCUGAAAGGCACACUCUGAGCCAUCCUGCAAUUUAUCAUCAUGUUUCAAUGUCACCAUUAUAGUUUUAUCACAAUCAAUCUGUAAGGAAAGAAGCGAUUAUUUACAAGUAGAACAAAUUAGGAAGUAAACAAAGUAAAUGUGCGUAAUGACUAAACUAAAAGAAAUUACAAGUGAACAGCAACAAUAGAACAAUAGUAAAUAGGAUAUAUGUGAACAAUAAGCUUCUAAGAGAUCAAAAAGAAAUGUCCCAAAUGAAUUUCUAGCCACCAAGUAGCUUAUACAGGGAAGAAGUUUCUGGUCACUUUUCAGGUUCAAGAACAAUGCAUUGUGAAUAUGAUUUUAAAUUAGUCUGAUCCUCAAAUUUAAAGAACAAAGCAGUUGUGAAAUCACCCAAAGAUGAUGAAUUAAGAGAGCUUUACCACUCAACUCAAUACUAUCAAGUUAAGCAUUAAUUGGUAACACAAUAAAAUCACGUAUUUCGUGAGGAAUACAAACCCCAGGCAGAUCAACAUCUGUUGGAAUGCGCUUACAAAAGUUUCCAUAGUAUUGUUGAACUUGAAUACCCUGGCUGCAUCUCACACGCAUCACUGCCUCAAAACCUUGAGGCCUUGUGACAUUCCAUCUAAGAUCAUUGUAAAGCUUUGCAGGAUCAGAAAGAGCCGAGAAGGGAUAAUAAUAAUAAACCUGUCCUCCAGUUGUUUUUGGGAUGACAGAGAUAGACGCAAUGUCCACAUAUGUCUGGGUAGUGAUAAAUACAUCAACACAGACCUGAUACUCAGCAAAUUCAAUUGCCAUUUCCUUCAAAGUUUUGUCUGCUGGUUGAAGUAAUUUGUGGGCCUCCUUCUCCCCAGAAGAAACGUUACUUCUUCCCUCAGCUUCUCUAGCAGAAAGAGCUCCAAUGCCAACUGAUGGCAACACUGAUUGAAAUACCAAAAGCUUUCCACCAGUGCUCUUCAUUGCCAAAAAGACUGCCUUGACAGCAGCACCAAAUGCAGAUUCAGCUGUUCUACUAUUCUGAAACAUGGUUGGGAUGCUUUCCAACAAUAGCUCUAAAUGUUGACGACACUCAGAAAGAGGAACAAUAACAUCAGUUUGCAGAGGAGUAUAGACAUCUUGUAUAUCAGGAACAAUAAGCAUCAAUGGCUGCUGUAAUGCACGUUUCAAAUUGUAAAAAUGGAUUGUAGAAUCAAAUGUUGCAAUUCCCACCAUCGUCCUAGGUCCUUCCGGAAGAUCUGCAAUAACUUGAUUGAUUGAACUGCAAGCCGCAGCAGUUGCACCAGUUUGUAUUGCAUUCAUGGAUACAUCAAUAAGGAAGAAAUACACCGCUGGCAUCGGAUCACGCACCAUAUACUCUUUCGUGGCAACAAAUUCAACAGUUCCCCUGCAUAGCUCGGGCCUUUCAUCAGCAUCCCUGCGCCUACCAUCUGGCCCCAGAUUGCAGUGAUAAUCACGGGGAGUCUCAUCAGUAAAACCGCACAAAUUACAGAUGAACCGCCUUCCUUGAUCAAUGAACUUCAUGAAAGGAUUUAUGUAGCCUUUGCAACGAGAACAGCGAACAGGACCACUUUCUCCAAAAUCCACAAGCUGAAUGGGCUCCUCAGAUGGAUGAGGAAGGGCCAAAGGUUGGACUAACAAAGCCAGCUGCAUACCAGAUGUUGUCAAAAGAUCAACAGUGCAUGGGACCUGAUUGAUUGUGCACCUCAUGUAGCGUGGACUGCAAUUCCCAGUGUCCCUAGCAAUGUAAUCACUUGUAGCAGGCUUUAGAGCAACACAAAUAAUUAGAUGAGGAAAUGACAAAUAAUGAUUCAGAUAAAUAACUUUGCCACAAUAUGUGAAAAUGCAAGCAAAUUUGAGGGGAAAAAAAUGAGAAAAGACCACGACAAAUCAUGCAGGAUUAAAUACCGGAGGUGGAUUAGCUUGAUUGCCCUGGCGAGUAUCAUGCAGGAUCACAGAGGAACCUGGUAUGGGUCGUGGAAUUUGAUUGGGAUCAAUCUUUGAUGAUCCUGCCAAAGAACCUCCUGUUUGUCCAACAACUGGAGAUAUAGCAGUCAUUUGAUUUGGUAGUGGUGGAGGUGGUGGCAUUCCAAACAUUGUAGGAGGUGCAGAACCAGGAAUUGGAGGUGGAGCCACUGGCUGGGUUUGCGUCUGUUGCCCAAAAGGAAAACCUGCUGGUGGUGACAUCCCCUGAGGUGGUGCAGAAAAUGAUGGCAUCCCUUGCGGUGGUGCUGAAUAUGAUGGUGCCCCUUGUGGUGCUGCUGAAAAUGGAGAUCGCUGUUGAGCACUGAUCCCAGAACUCCCCAUUAAGGGACGCAUGCUUGGUGCUUGAGGAAGUACCCGAGCUGCCCCAGCUGUUGGAGGACCCAUCAGUGGGGGUUGAGGGGCAGCGCCAGAUGGAGGAAACCGUGGCCCUCCAUGGAAAGGUGGUGCAUGUGGCCCGUUACUGACUAAACCACCUGAUGAGACUGAAGGGGUUACAGAUGAAGGUGUAGUGGAAGAUGCAAUUGGACUUGGGUGAGCACCCAGGCGUGGUGCAAGUGAUCCAUAAGAUGGUGCCCCAGAGGAAGGGCCCAUAACUACACCACUUCCUGCAGAAGGCAAUGACGCAGGAGGUGGUCUGGACCCAAAAGGGGAAGGCUGGCUAAAAGGCGGGCCCGUGGGUCUGACUGUACCCACAUUUGGGGGCAAUGCAGGUGGUGGGGACCCUGAGGGAGGCACCGAGGGUCUAGGGAAUGCACCAGGAGGCGGUGGACCAGGGCGGGAAAAUGAUGGCGAAGGGGCUGAGGAAGGAAAAUGUGGCGGUUGAAAUGGUGACGGCCUAGGAGCCGAAUUGGGCAUGGAAGGGGGCCGAUUAAGGUUCAGAUUUUGCAAAUUAUCAGAUAAUGAACUGGGAUUCUGCUGGUAAUUAGGGUUAUAAUUAGGUGGUGGUGGUGGUUGUUGCCGAGGUGCCCCUGGAGGCACAGGAGCUGCCAUUUUCCAAUAAAAUGGCCCAAAAUCUCAACUCACUUAAUCUUUCAGUAAUCACGCCCAGAAUAUCUAUCUUCCAAAAAUCUCCAAUGAACAAGAUACACUCUAAAUCUAGACAUCAACGAAUAAAACUUACUGUGUAAAUCAAAAGUAAUUAAACCAAAAAUUCCAUAUUCACAAGAUGCAAAUAUUCAAUCAAAUUGAACAAUAACGGAAUCAAUCAACCAAAAACCUGCACAGAUGAAUGAAGCAGCUAUAUGAAGGAUCAAAGGAGACUGGAUCUGUGAGUGAUUGAUCUGAGAACUUAAUCCAAUAGAAUUUUGAUUAGGGUUUUGGAUACAGAGUUUAAUAGGAUUAUAAAUUAGGGUUUUGGAUCAGAGAAAGAUCCGAUGGGUGGUGGGUCUGAGAGAGAGAGAGUUGAGAAGAAAGGUCUGAAAAAUUUUUUCUUUUCUUUUUAACAAUUUUUUU
RNAcentral lists this unclassified non-coding RNA (7056 nucleotides) under Hevea brasiliensis (rubber tree). The record is from RNAcentral. Lineage: Eukaryota; Viridiplantae; Streptophyta; Magnoliopsida; Malpighiales; Euphorbiaceae.